RNAcentral lists this transfer RNA (71 nucleotides) under Sinopodisma pieli. RNAcentral's name for it is "tRNA-Val". It matches the Rfam family "tRNA". From Rfam's summary of the family: Transfer RNA (tRNA) molecules are approximately 80 nucleotides in length. Their secondary structure includes four short double-helical elements and three loops (D, anti-codon, and T loops). Further hydrogen bonds mediate the characteristic L-shaped molecular structure. tRNAs have two regions of fundamental functional importance: the anti-codon, which is responsible for specific mRNA codon recognition, and the 3' end, to which the tRNAs corresponding amino acid is attached (by aminoacyl-tRNA synthetases). tRNAs cope with the degeneracy of the genetic code in two manners: having more than one tRNA (with a specific anti-codon) for a particular amino acid; and 'wobble' base-pairing, i.e. permitting non-standard base-pairing at the 3rd anti-codon position. Lineage: Eukaryota; Metazoa; Arthropoda; Insecta; Orthoptera; Acrididae. The record is from RNAcentral.
CAAGAUAUAGCUUACUAGUAAAGUAUUUCAUUUACACUGAAAAUUAUUCUGUGCAAAUCAGGAUAUCUUGA